CUCUUGACUUCAAAACAAACAUACAAAUACUAAACAGUAAUUGGAGUUCACCAAAAAGUUAGGACAUAUUCCUCUUUGGUUACUGAGUUAAAUAUAUAUGUCUUUAAAACUUUGAAAAGAGUAGGCAACUCUACAGUGUAGGUAAUAAUACUGGAAAGGUUAUGUUCACAAGCUUUCUGUCCAUAGAACAAAGACAUCACAAUCUAAAAAUGAAGUGAGAGUGAUGAACUUCAAUGACAACAAUAAAAGGUUGGGGGCCAGGAGAGUUGUUCAUUUAAUUGAGGGCACUACCUUCUCCUCACUCAGGUAUAGGAUAUUGUUCCAUUUUAAGCCAUUGAGAGAGAGGGGCUUUAUAUUUUAAAUUGGAAGCUAAUAAAUGCUCUUUUUCUCAUUAACACACAUGACCUCUAUGAUUUAUGCUCUCAUGCACACUGGCCCAGUUUCUCAGUUUCUGUUAAUGAUGUUGAGAACCUCUGCUUAACAUGAAUUAUUUCCUUACCAAUUCCCUGUAAAUUCACAAUAGAUGUUAAUUGUAAUGAUCUGCCUGUCUUGUUCAGGAAAGAAAAAUAUCAAAAUGAACCUAGCCUGUUGUGCUUUUCUGAUGUUCUUCAAAAUGUGUAUAAAUUGAUUCCAUUUAUGAGAAUUAUGAAGGCAGGCAGCUUUGUCAUGCUUCUUGUGGUAGUGAUAAUGUAUGUGUUUCUUAUUUCAGAUAAGCUAUUUGCUGUUCAAAUAACAAUUAGUAGAACUGGAAUGAGAAAGACAGAUAAGGAUAACUGAUAAUUAGGUUUAGAGGACUCUGUCCUAUUUUAUGUUCUUAAUUUAUGGUACAUUAGAUAUUUUCAUAUAGUUUUGCUUUCCUUGACACAGAUGAAUAUGAAAGUUGAAUUUAACUCUAAAUUCAUAUUAAAGUGCUAGAAAAUGAUAAAUACAUUCCAAAUUUUGAAAUUUGUAUGAUUAAUGGAUUGAGUUAAUAUUUAGUUUUUUAAAUUAAUGAAUAAGAGACUUUAGGGGAAAGAGGUUAGCCAGCAAUACAGCUCAGGACAAGCUGAUGUUGUAGUUAUUCUUUGAAAGAGUUGACAUGACUGUAGGAUUCUCAUUACUGCAGUGACUAUAAAGAUGUUUAUUAUAGUCCUCAUCUUGAUCAAGAGGUGAUAAUUUUAGCACCUGAUAACUGGGCAAAUGAAUAAGAUAGAUUUUAUAAACUCAUAGAAUUAUAGAGUACUAGAGCCAUUAGGAGAUUGUCCAAUUCAAUCCCUGCUAAUAUAGGAAAGGAAACUAAACCCCAACAAUAUACAGUACUUUGUUAUAUACAUUUUUCCAACUUACUUAGAUUUCAGUUUUCUUAUUUCUUGCCUUGGUGACCUCUUUCUCUUUUUAUUUAUUCUUAGUAGACUAUAGAUUUUUUCUUAAAUCAAUAAUUUCCCAAAAAUUAUAAGAAUAAUUGUUAUGUAAUAUAGAUUUUCUCUUGUCUUUAUUCUGAGCUUCUAGCAUGGAUAGGCGUGUCUCAGUUAUUCCUGAGCCCAAGUGUGGACCUGAGAUUAUGCUGGUAAGAUGACUCCUUCUUAGCAUCUGAUGAUGGCCGGUCACGAUGGAAAGACAAACUAUGUGGACAGAAUGUUGGGGCUUGGAACCAAGUGAUACCAGCCCAACCUCCCAUCAUCUGAGGAGAAACACCUGGAGACUGAGUCCAAUCACGUGACCAAAACUUCAGUAAACAAAGAACAAGCUGUACUGGAUGGGAUUGAUGUGCUGCUAAGCCAGAAAAUAUGCUCCAGGAGGUUAAAACUGCAAGUGCUAGAUUUGCUGGACAAGCACAACAACUUUUGGAGAGUCUGGACUGGAAACAAGUUGGAAGCCUGCUCCUCCUCAGAAGCCAUGAAGAAGAGAAACACAGAGAAGAGUGGGCCAAGGGCGGCAGAAAAGCAGCCCCUCAAGGUGAUUGUAGACCUGGAGCUCAGUCACACAUGUCUGUAUCUAUUCCAAUCCUACCUCCUCAAGUGGAUCCAGCAGAGGAAAGGUCUGGUGCAGUUGGAUUGUCCGAAGCUGUGCAUUAAAGAGCAGACAUUCAAAGUAUCAUAGAGAUCAUAGAAAUCCUGAACCUUGAUUCUGUGCAGGUGGCAGAACUGGGUGACUGCUGGACAUUAUCCACCUUGGCUCUUUUGGCCCCUUAUCUGGUUGAGAUGAAAAAUCUUCAGACACUAAUCAUCUCUGACAUCUCUGUGCCUGAGUUCCUUUCCUCAAAGGAGUUAGAGCAGUUGCUCACCCAAAGCACCUCUCAAUUUUGUAAGCGUCACCAUCUGGAGAAGAUUUGUAUAGACUCUCUCUCCAUCGUGAGCCAGUGCCUGCUCCGGAUGUACAGGCCUGUGUGAUCACAGAUGCCCUACCUUGAGCCGAUGCUUCCAGCUCACUACAUUCAGCUACUUGAGGAACUCCAUGUCCAUAGCCACCCUGGAUAGCCUGCUGUGUCACACUGCAAGGCUGAGGAACUUACGCCUGAAUGUCUCCUGGCUGAGACUGGACUAGUUUCAGGGUGGGCUAAGGAGGAUGGUGCAGCCAUUAAACCAUCCCAGGAUAGUCCGGUUUUGUGUUGCUCAUUGUGUGCUCCCUUGUAACUAUAGAGUCUAUUAACUGCACCCUGCUUCGUGGCCUACUUGUAUCACUAUCUAGUUGGAUUUAAGUAUCCUAUGUUUGCAUUGGGCACCAGGGACACAGGACCUUUGUUUCAAUGUUAAUGAGAAAAAGGUAGGUCAGACAGCAAACUUGGGGAAUCAUCGGAUCCAGAGUUAAAGUGACUUUUGUAGACUCAGGUCCUAGAAAGCAUCAGAAAGAGGAAUCUGAGUUUCUAGCUAUAAAUUCAGGCUUCAGAUGAAUAUGUGUUUGAUUGUAAAGAAAUGAUCUGAAAUAAAGAGAGUUGCAUUUAAAAAAAAUAGCAAAGAAAAUGUAAAAAGUUUAAUUUCAAAUUAAACAUUUCCUUCUUUAUUUCUUGCAUGUUUUGAGUUAGGUUAUUUGUGAUACAAAAAUUAUUUUAAAAUCUUAUUACCUCAAAGUUAAUUUCUUUUUUUUCCAGUUGUCUAAGAGCUUUUGAUUUUUAAAAAAUUCUUCAAUUUCAUAAUAUAUGUGAACAUGAAUUCUCUAGACCUAUUCCUAAUGAUUGGAGGAAUCCUUGGUAACAUUUUUCCUUCAUUUCUCGUUCAGCUUUUUCUAUGUAGGACAGUCAAGUUGAAGGACUCCCCUGAUACCCUUAGAGAAAGUUGCUUAGCGAGAAACACUGAAGUUUUAUAAACAGCUGGUGUAGAACACUUCUGCUGAAGUUUUAGGUUUGACUAGUGUGCUCAGUUUAGAAAAUGAAUUACAGCUUUCAUCAGUUAACUUGUGCAGAGCUAAGGUAAUUAAUAGGAGGACUGAUGGAUGUCAUUGAAAAUUGAUGAUCACACUAGCAGUGAAAUAGUAUUCAGAUUGUUUUCAUCUUCCUUGUUUAAAAGAAUAUGCAUGAAGAAAAGAGCCCACAAAUUGAGAUUGAGUCUACAGAAUGACUGUUAUAAAUAAAUAAUGCAAUUUGA
Heterocephalus glaber (naked mole-rat) is the source of this 3560-nucleotide non-coding RNA. NCBI's taxonomy places the organism in Eukaryota, Metazoa, Chordata, Mammalia, Rodentia, Bathyergidae. The record is from RefSeq and is a predicted model, not a curated record.